RNAcentral lists this ribosomal RNA (308 nucleotides) under uncultured eukaryote. RNAcentral describes it as "partial large subunit ribosomal RNA". It matches the Rfam family "Eukaryotic large subunit ribosomal RNA", at positions 40 to 350 of the family's 3401-position model. The record is from RNAcentral.
AUAUCAGUAAGCGGAGGAAAAGAAACUAACAAGGAUUUGAUCAGUAACGGCGAGUGAAGAUCAAUUAGCCCAAGAUGUGAAUCCGAUAUAAAGUAUUGGAAUUGUAAUCUAUAGGGGUUCUCAGAAGCAGUUAAUGCGCCAUAAGUGCUCUGGAAAGGGCCACGAAACAAGGUGAAAGUCCUGUCUUUGGGUGCAGAAACGCGUAUGAGAAUUUUCUAAGAGUCGGGUAGUUUGGGAAUGCUGCCCUAAUUAGGAGAUAAACUUCUUCUAAGGCUAAAUAUUUAUAGGAGACCGAUAGCGCACAAGUA